UACAGAGGGUGCGAGCGUUAAUCGGAAUUACUGGGCGUAAAGCGCACGUAGUCGGCUUUGCAAGUCAGACGUGAAAUCCCUCGGCUUAACCGGGGAACUGCGUCUGAUACUGGAUGGCUAGAGGUUGGGAGAGGGAUGCGGAAUUCCAGGUGUAGCGGUGAAAUGCGUAGAUAUCUGGAGGAACACCGGUGGCGAAGGCGGCAUCCUGGACCAAUUCUGACGCUGAGGAGCGAAAGCCAGGGGAGCAAACGGGG
RNAcentral lists this ribosomal RNA (254 nucleotides) under uncultured bacterium. Its description in RNAcentral is "partial 16S ribosomal RNA". It matches the Rfam family "Bacterial small subunit ribosomal RNA", at positions 524 to 777 of the family's 1533-position model. The record is from RNAcentral.